UGUCCCACAACUUUCAGACAUCACAGAGGCUGUCUGUGACGGCAUUUUCCAAUCCUCGCACAAGUUUUUCUUGUGGCUAAGCUUAACCUGGAGCCAACUGGAGAGAGAUUCUGGGAAAUGUGGUUCUGGCUUAGCUGUAUUGAGAUAAUAUGAAGUCAUCAGAGAGAGAAACAGCUGGCAACUGUGGUGAUGUCUGCGGGCUGUUUUGUGGCCUAAAUGAAACUUCCAUCAUGGAGUCAGUGGUGCUAUGGCCUGGGGUCCUGUUACAUAACAUCAGUGAAGGAGCACACGUGGUCUGCCUUUGCAUUGACAACUGAUGUUAACCAUAGUGUCAGGAUUCAGGCUGAGGUGAGGUCGGAAACGAACAAGCUGCUCCAUGGACCCAGAACUGCACUCGUUUAAGAUGAGGAAAUUCUCCAUUCUUUUGUAAGGCAGUUUGGAUGUACUGAACACUAUUCACAAGCACACCCAAAAAUGCUCAGGAUGGUAAAUUGUACAUUGUGUGCUUUUUUAUAGCAAAAGCACAAAAGCAGUCCUCUGGAGAGUCCAUGUCAUACGACGCAACCUUGAGUCAGUAAAUUUAAAAUGUCAA
Peromyscus maniculatus bairdii (prairie deer mouse) is the source of this 592-nucleotide non-coding RNA. The record is from RefSeq and is a predicted model, not a curated record. Lineage: Eukaryota; Metazoa; Chordata; Mammalia; Rodentia; Cricetidae.